CCCUAUGGGGUGCAGCAGCCGCGAAAACUUUACAAUGCACGAAAGUGUGAUAAGGGUAUCCCAAGUGCUUGCCGCAAGGUAGGCUUUUGCCAAGUGUAAAUAGCUUGGAGAAUAAGUGGUGGGUAAUACCGGUGCCAGCAGCCGCGGUAACACCGGAGCCACAAGUUGUAACCACGUUUAUUGGGCCUAAAGGGUUCGUAGCCGGUUUGGUAACUCUUUUGUGAAAUUGUCUGGCUUAACUAGACAACGUGCAAGAGAAACUGCCAAACUAGAGACCGGGAAGAGACUGAAGUAUUCUGAGGGGAGUGGUAGAAUGCUAUAAUCCUCAGAGGACUACCGAUGGCGAAGGCAUCAGUCUAGAACGGGUCUGACGGUGAGGGACGAAAGCCAGGGGAGCGAUCGGGAUUAGAUACCCCAGUAGUCCUGGCUGUAAACGCUGUGAACUAAGUGUCGCAUAUCUUCCGAGGAUAUGCGGUGCUGGAGCGAAGGUGUUAAGUUCACCGCCUGGGAAGUACGGCCGCAAGACUGAAACUUUAAGGAAUUGGCGGGGACGCACACAAGGAGUGACGCGUGCGGUUUAAUCUAACUACACUCAGAAAAUCUUACCAGGGGCGACGGCAGAAUGAAGGUCAGAUUGAAAGUUUUACCUGACAAGCCGAGAAGAAGUGCAUGGCCAA
RNAcentral lists this ribosomal RNA (677 nucleotides) under uncultured euryarchaeote. RNAcentral describes it as "bacterial SSU rRNA". It matches the Rfam family "Archaeal small subunit ribosomal RNA", at positions 321 to 1001 of the family's 1478-position model. Lineage: Archaea; Methanobacteriati; Methanobacteriota. The record is from RNAcentral.